AACGCACCUUGCGCUCCUUGGUAUUCCGAGGAGCAUGCCUGUUUGAGUGUCAUGAAAUCUUCAACUUACAAGCUCUUUGCGGGGUUUGUAGGCUUGGACUUGGAGGCUUGUCGGCCUUUAACGGUCGGCUCCUCUUAAAUGCAUUAGCUUGAUUUCCUUGCGGAUCGGCUGUCGGUGUGAUAAUGUCUACUCCGCGACCGUGAAGCGUUUGGCAAGCUUCUAACCGUCUCGUUACAGAGACAGCUUUAUGACCUCUGACCUCAAAUCAGGUAGGACUACCCGCUGAACUUAA
RNAcentral lists this unclassified non-coding RNA (292 nucleotides) under uncultured Ganoderma. RNAcentral describes it as "sequence contains ITS2". The stretch from base 1 to 52 matches the Rfam family "5.8S ribosomal RNA", at positions 103 to 154 of the family's 154-position model. The record is from RNAcentral. Lineage: Eukaryota; Fungi; Basidiomycota; Agaricomycetes; Polyporales; Polyporaceae.